RNAcentral lists this ribosomal RNA (584 nucleotides) under Yarrowia lipolytica. RNAcentral describes it as "eukaryotic LSU rRNA". The stretch from base 206 to 359 matches the Rfam family "5.8S ribosomal RNA". Lineage: Eukaryota; Fungi; Ascomycota; Dipodascomycetes; Dipodascales. The record is from RNAcentral.
GGACCUGCGGAAGGAUCAGUUAAUAGGAGUAAGGGUGCUCAGCGCCCGACCUCCAACCCUUUGUUGUUAAAACUACCUUGUUGCUUUGGCGGGACCGCUCGGUUCCGAGCCGCUGGGGAUUCGUCCCAGGCGAGCGCCCGCCAGAGUUAAACCAAACUCUUGUUAUUUAAACCGGUCGUCUGAGUUAAAAUUUUGAAUAAAUCAAAACUUUCAACAACGGAUCUCUUGGUUCUCGCAUCGAUGAAGAACGCAGCGAAAUGCGAUAAGUAAUGUGAAUUGCAGAAUUCAGUGAAUCAUCGAAUCUUUGAACGCACAUUGCGCCCCUUGGUAUUCCGAGGGGCAUGCCUGUUCGAGCGUCAUUACACCACUCAAGCUAUGCUUGGUAUUGGGUGCCGUCCUUAGUUGGGCGCGCCUUAAAGACCUCGGCGAGGCCUCACCGGCUUUAGGCGUAGUAGAAUUUAUUCGAACGUCUGUCAAAGGAGAGGACUUCUGCCGACUGAAACCUUUUAUUUUUUCUAGGUUGACCUCGGAUCAGGUAGGGAUACCCGCUGAACUUAAGCAUAUCAAUAGGCCGGAGGAACGGA